This 1807-nucleotide long non-coding RNA is filed under the name Apteryx rowi (Okarito brown kiwi). Its description in RNAcentral is "lncRNA (ENSARWG00000010293.1)". Lineage: Eukaryota; Metazoa; Chordata; Aves; Apterygiformes; Apterygidae. The record is from RNAcentral.
AUGAGGACCUCCAAGACCCCCAAGUCCACUUUGGGGUCACCCAACGGCGGCGUGAGGACCUCCGGGACCCCCAAAUUUGCCUUGAGGGCACCCAACGCCAACGUGAUCAUCUACGGGACCCCCACGUCUCACUGGGGGUCACCCAACUGCUGCACGAGCACCCAUGGGACCCCCAAGUCCACCUUGGGGUCACCCAACGGCAGCGUGAGCACCUCUGGGACCCCCAAAUCCGCCUUGGGGUCACCCAACAGCAUCACGAGCACCUCUGGGACCCCCAAGUCCACGUCGGGGCCACCCAACAUCUGCUCGGGGUCUUCCAAGACCUCCCGCGUCUCCCCUGGGGGCCCCCGGCACCGGCUCAUGGACCUCCUGGACCCCCACGUCCCCCCUGGGGGCACCCAGGACCGAAUCGAGGACCUCCGGGACCCCCACGUCCUUCUGGGGACACCCACCACCAAAUCGAGGACCUCCGGGACCCCCACGUCCUACUUGGGGUCACCCACCACCAAAUUGAGGACCUCUGGGACCCACAUGUCCUCCUUGGGGGCACCCACCACCAAAUCAAGGACCUCCGGGACCCACAUGUCCUACUUGGAGGCUCCCACCACUGAAUUGAGGACCUCUGGGACCCACAUGUCCUCCUUGGGGGCACCCACCACCAAAUCAAGGACCUCCGGGACCCACAUGUCCUCUUUGGGGGCACCCACCACCAAACCGAGGACCUCUAGGACGCCCACGUUCUCCUUGGGGGCACCCACCACCAAAUCAAGGACUUCUGGGACCCCCACGUUCUCCUUGGGGGCACCCACCACUGAAUUGAGGACCUCCGGGACCCACAUGUCCUCCCUGGGGGCACGUGCCGCCAAAUCAAGGACUUCUGGGACCCCCAUGUCCUGCGUGGAGGCACCUGGCUGCACCCCAUGGACUUCCGGGACCCCCAUGUCCUCUUUGGGGGCACCCACCACCAAAUCGAGGACUUCUGGGACCCCCACGUUCUCCUUGGGGGCACCCACCACUGAAUUAAGGACCUCUAGGACCCCCACGUCCCACUUGGGGGCACCUGGCUGCACCCCAUGGACUUCCGGGACCCCCAUGUCCUUCUGGGGAGAACCCACCACCAAAUCGAGGACCUCUAGGACCCCCAUGUCCUCCUUGGGGGUACUUUCCUGCACCCCAUGGACUUCCGGGACCCCCAUGUCCUCCUUGGAGGCACCCACCACCAAAUCGAGGAUGUCUAGGACCCCCAUGUCCUCCUUGGGGGUACUUUCCUGCACCCCAUGGACUUCCGGGACCCCCAUGUCCUCCUUGGGGGCACCCACCACCAAAUCGAGGAUGUCUAAGACCCCCACGUUCUUCUGGGGAGAACCCACCACCAAAUUGAGGAGAUCUAGGACCCCCCAUGUCCUCCUUGGGGGUACCUGGCUGCACCCCAUGGACCUCUAGGACCCCCACAUCAUCUGUGGGGGCACCCACCACUGAAUUGAGGACCUCUGGGACCCCCACGUCCUCCUUGGGGGCACCCACCACCAAAUUGAGGAGAUCUAGGACCCCCAUGUCCUCCUUGGGGGUACUUGCCUGCACCCCAUGGACUUCCGGGACCCCCAUGUCCUCCUGGGGGCAGGACCUCUAGGACCCCCGUGUCCUACUUGGGGGCACCCACCACCAAAUUGAGGAUGUCUAGGACCCCCACGUCCUAUUUGGGGGGCACCCACCACCGAGUUGAGGACCUCUAGGACCCCCACGUCCUCCUGGGGGGCACCCACCACCAAAUUGAGGAUGUCUAGGACCCCCACGUUCCUCCUCGGGG